GACGAACGCUGGCGGCGUGCUUAACACAUGCAAGUCGAACGGAAAGGCCCUGCUUUUGUGGGGUGCUCGAGUGGCGAACGGGUGAGUAACACGUGAGUAACCUGCCCUUGACUUUGGGAUAACUUCAGGAAACUGGGGCUAAUACCGGAUAGGAGCUCCUGCUUCCUGGUGGGGGUUGGAAAGUUUCGGCGGUUGGGGAUGGACUCGCGGCUUAUCAGCUUGUUGGUGGGGUAGUGGCUUACCAAGGCUUUGACGGGUAGCCGGCCUGAGAGGGUGACCGGCCACAUUGGGACUGAGAUACGGCCCAGACUGCUACGGGAGGCAGCAGUGGGGAAUAUAGCACAAUGGGCGGAAGCCUGAUGCAGCAACGCCGCGUGCGGGAUGACGGCCUUCGGGUUGUAAACCGAUUUCGCCUAUGACGAAGCGUGAGUGACGGUAAUGGGUAAAGAAGCACCGGCUAACUACGU
RNAcentral lists this ribosomal RNA (467 nucleotides) under uncultured bacterium. Its description in RNAcentral is "partial 16S ribosomal RNA". It matches the Rfam family "Bacterial small subunit ribosomal RNA", at positions 28 to 506 of the family's 1533-position model. The record is from RNAcentral.